Long non-coding RNA from Lotus japonicus, 603 nucleotides. RefSeq lists it as uncharacterized. The transcript has 2 exons. NCBI's taxonomy places the organism in Eukaryota, Viridiplantae, Streptophyta, Magnoliopsida, Fabales, Fabaceae. The record is from RefSeq and is a predicted model, not a curated record.
UUAGUUUCCAACUAUGUUACAAAGAGAAUGGGAGAACAUGGCAAGUAGAGAUACAUGGGAAAGUGAGGGUUAUGUUGCCUUAAUAUCAUAAUUUUAGUAACACAUCCUUUUAUUUUCCCCUUGCUUACACCUGCCAUAUUUUAUUGAAUUUUUUUUUUCUGUUCUUUACAAGUUAACAAGAGAGUAGAACAUCUCUACAUCAGGGUAAUCUGUUGGGAUAAAUUGAUAAGAAAAUCAAAGGUCUCUGUUGGUAGAGGGAGGAAUAUGACAAGGUGUAUCUAUGGAGAAUAGGAGCUCGAGUCUGUUGGGCUUAUAAAUGAAGGGAAGAUGCAUUAAAUUGUGACGGCACAAGAAUGAGGAGAAGGUGAGCCAUCAAAAUUGUGAUAGGGAAGGGACAUAUCAAUUAUGCUUGAGUUUAAGUUCUUCAAUUAUGACGGCACAAGAAUGAAGUUUUUUUAUUAGGGAGGCACUCAUUCUCAAUUUCUCACUCUUAACAUAAAUUCUGGUUCCAAAUUUUGUCUGUCUUUCCUCCAAAAUCAAUCAUCUUGAUCCUUAGAUGUAAAAUCAAGACUCUUAUGUCAUGUAUAAUAUGUAAUUUGUUCA